GACGAACGCUGGCGGCGUGCUUAACACAUGCAAGUCGAACGAUGAAGCUGGAGCUUGCUCCGGUGGAUUAGUGGCGAACGGGUGAGUAACACGUGAGCAAUCUGCCCUUGACUCUGGGAUAACUGCGGGAAACUGUAGCUAAUACCGGAUACGAGGCUCGAAGGCAUCUUCGGGUCUGGAAAGAAUUUCGGUCAAGGAUGAGCUCGCGGCCUAUCAGCUUGUUGGUGAGGUAAUGGCUCACCAAGGCGACGACGGGUAGCCGGCCUGAGGGGGUGACCGGCCACACUGGGACUGAGACACGGCCAAGACUCCUACGGGAGGCAGCAGUGGGGAAUAUUGCACAAUGGGCGAAAGCCUGAUGCAGCAACGUCGCGUGAGGGAUGAAGGCCUUCGGGUUGUAAACCUCUUUUAGCAGGGAAGAAGCGAAAGUGACGGUACCUGCAGAAAAAGCACCGGCUAACUACGUGCCAGCCGCCGCCGUAA
This 483-nucleotide ribosomal RNA is filed under the name uncultured bacterium. RNAcentral's name for it is "partial 16S ribosomal RNA". It matches the Rfam family "Bacterial small subunit ribosomal RNA", at positions 28 to 523 of the family's 1533-position model. The record is from RNAcentral.